This 253-nucleotide ribosomal RNA is filed under the name uncultured bacterium. RNAcentral describes it as "partial 16S ribosomal RNA". It matches the Rfam family "Bacterial small subunit ribosomal RNA", at positions 524 to 776 of the family's 1533-position model. The record is from RNAcentral.
UACGGGGGGGGCAAGCGUUGUUCGGAAUUACUGGGCGUAAAGGGCUCGUAGGUGGCCAACUAAGUCAGACGUGAAAUCCCUCGGCUUAACCGGGGAACUGCGUCUGAUACUGGAUGGCUCGAGUUCGGGAGAGGUGAGUGGAACUGCGAGUGUAGAGGUGAAAUUCGUAGAUAUUCGCAAGAACACCAGUGGCGAAGGCGGCUCACUGGCCCGGUACUGACGCUGAGGUGCGAAAGCGUGGGGAGCAAACAGG